This 252-nucleotide ribosomal RNA is filed under the name Muribaculum intestinale. Its description in RNAcentral is "partial 16S ribosomal RNA". It matches the Rfam family "Bacterial small subunit ribosomal RNA", at positions 524 to 776 of the family's 1533-position model. The record is from RNAcentral. Lineage: Bacteria; Pseudomonadati; Bacteroidota; Bacteroidia; Bacteroidales; Muribaculaceae.
UACGGAGGAUGCGAGCGUUAUCCGGAUUUAUUGGGUUUAAAGGGAGCGCAGGCUGCGGGGCAAGUCAGCGGUCAAAUGUCGGGGCUCAACCCCGGCCUGCCGUUGAAACUGUCCUGCUAGAGUUCGAGUGAGGUAUGCGGAAUGCGUUGUGUAGCGGUGAAAUGCAUAGAUAUGACGCAGAACUCCGAUUGCGAAGGCAGCAUACCAACUCGCGACUGACGCUGAGGCUCGAAAGCGUGGGUAUCGAACAGG